UAAUGCCUAAAGGGGUGGAACCACUUUGUGAAAGUGGGGGUGGUUACCCAGUUUUUAGGAAGAGAGGUUUCCUAGUUUUUUUUGGCUUUUAAAGAGAAAGAAGAAGGUGUUCAGAAAAGAAAAAAGAAGAGGUAAAAAGAUAGAGAGAAAAAGAGUAAAGGAGAGAACAUUGACAAAGACAAACACAGAGAAAGACACCCAGAAAACAAAAAAAGCAUAAAGAAAGGAUAAAAGGUAUAGUGAAUCAGAAAGAGUACACUGAAAAAAAGAAAAUUUCACCAUAGCUUUAUAAAAGGUUAGUGUCUCUUUCGCUUAUUCAUCUUCAUCCCCUUUUAUGUUAAGCAUUCAAAACCUGUG
RNAcentral lists this long non-coding RNA (357 nucleotides) under Lupinus angustifolius (narrow-leaved blue lupine). Its description in RNAcentral is "long non-coding RNA (LANG_LNC003258)". Lineage: Eukaryota; Viridiplantae; Streptophyta; Magnoliopsida; Fabales; Fabaceae. The record is from RNAcentral.